CCCUUUGAUGUUCUGGGCUGCACGCGCGCUACACGGAUGCGCUCAACGAGUUUACGACCUUGCCUGGAAAGGUUGGGUAAUCUUCUUAAAACGCAUCGUGAUGGGGAUAGAUUAUUGCAACUAUUAAGAUUCAACGAGGAGUUCCUAGUAAGCGCGAGUCAUCAGCUCGCGUUGAUUACGUCCCUGCCCUUUGUACACACCGCCCGUCGCUACUACCGAUUGAAUGGCUUAGUGAGGCUCCCGGACCGACCGCCAGUGGCUUUACGGCUGCCGAUGGUUGGAAAGUUAGACAAACUUGGUCAUUUAGAGGAAGUAAAAGUCGUAACA
RNAcentral lists this ribosomal RNA (327 nucleotides) under uncultured eukaryote. RNAcentral's name for it is "partial 18S ribosomal RNA". It matches the Rfam family "Eukaryotic small subunit ribosomal RNA", at positions 1470 to 1796 of the family's 1831-position model. The record is from RNAcentral.